UGCUCAGUAACACGUGGAUAACCUACCCUCAGGAGGGGGAUAACCCCGGGAAACUGGGGAUAAUACCCCAUAGAUCAGGGACGCUGGAAUGCCCCCUGAUCCAAAGGUCCGCCGCCUGAGGAUGGGUCUGCGGCCGAUUAGGUUGUUGUUGGGGUAACGGCCCAACAAGCCAUUGAUCGGUACGGGUUGUGAGAGCAAGAGCCCGGAGAUGGAUUCUGAGACACGAAUCCAGGCCCUACGGGGCGCAGCAGGCGCGAAAACUUUACAAUGCGAGAAGUCGUAACAAGGGAACCCGAGUGCCCGUAAAUUCGGGCUGUCCGCCAGUGUAAAUAACUGGUGAUGAAAGGCCGGGCAAGACCCUGCCAGCCGCCGCGGUAAUACCGGCGGCUCG
This 391-nucleotide ribosomal RNA is filed under the name uncultured archaeon. RNAcentral's name for it is "bacterial SSU rRNA". It matches the Rfam family "Archaeal small subunit ribosomal RNA", at positions 87 to 486 of the family's 1478-position model. The record is from RNAcentral.